This 2111-nucleotide ribosomal RNA is filed under the name Exiliniscus sp. RNAcentral's name for it is "SSU rRNA". It matches the Rfam family "Eukaryotic small subunit ribosomal RNA". The record is from RNAcentral. Lineage: Eukaryota; Metazoa; Arthropoda; Malacostraca; Isopoda; Nannoniscidae.
UAUAUGCUUGUCUCAAAGAUUAAGCCAUGCAUGUCUGAGUACAGACCGAUCUAAGGUGAAACCGCGAAUGGCUCAUUAAAUCAGUCAUAAUUCCUUGGUAGUGAACAACUUUCCUCGGAUAACUGUGGAAAAUCCAGAGCUAAUACGUGCAAUUGAGCUCCGACCACGGCGCAAGUCGUGGGAAGAGCGCAUUUAUUAGUAAUAAAACUGGCCGAUGUACUCCUUCGGGAUAUAUCGUUUGUCAAAAGUUUAUGAUGACUCCGGAUAACUAAGCAGAGCGCUACGGUCUUUAGUACCGGCGCCGUAUCUUUCAAGUGUCUGCCUUAUCAGCUUUCGAUUGUAGGUUAAACGCCUACAAUGGCUGUAACGGGUAACGGGGAAUCAGGGUUCGAUUCCGGAGAGGGAGCCUGAGAAACGGCUACCACAUCUAAGGAAGGCAGCAGGCACGCAAAUUACCCACUCCUAGCCCAGGGAGGUAGUGACGAAAAAUAACGAUGCGAGACUCUUCCGAGGCCUCGCAAUCGGAAUGAGUCCAUUAUAAAUGUAUGGACGAGGAUCCAUUGAAGGGCAAGUCUGGUGCCAGCAGCCGCGGUAAUUCCAGCUUCAAUAGCGUAUAUUAAAGUUGCUGCGGUUAAAAAGCUCGUAGUUGGAUCUACUAGACCAUUUCGUGGACGAGUCUCUCUUCGUACACGCUUCUCUCGUGCGGUUCCUUCGAUGAAGUUUCUGUCUUGCGGUGUUUGCGUUCCUCUCCUGAGUUGGUUCCAUUCGCCUCCCUGUAAGUUACCGAAUCUUGGAACGGUGGGGGCGGCUGUCCUAGAGUAUAGCUCGUCCGCGUUUGGUACAAUUAAAAUUUUGUCGGCUCGCUCGGAGUGCUCUUUACCGAGUGUUCCAGGGUGGCCGACACGUUCACUUUGAAAAAAUUAGAGUGCUUAAAGCGGGCCUUAUCAAAUGGCCUGAAUGUCUGUGCAUGGAAUGAAGUAACAGGACCUCGAUUCUGUUGUUUUUGUCGGUUUUAAUGAACCGAGGUAAUGAUUAAAAGGGACAGACGGUGGCAUUAGUAUUGCGACGCUAGAGGUGAAAUUCUUGGACCGUCGCAAGACUAACUACUGCGAAAGCGUUUGCCGAGAAUGUUUUCAUUAAUCAAGAACGAAAGUUAGAGGAUCGAAGGCGAUCAGAUACCGCCCUAGUUCUAACCCUAAACUAUGCUAACUAGCGAUCCGCCGGAGUCAUUCCCACGACCCGGCGGGAAGCCCCAGGGAAACCAAAGUCUUUGAGUUCCGGGGGAAGUAUGGUUGCAAAUCUGAAACUUAAAGGAAUUGACGGAAGGGCACCACCAGGAGUGGAGCCUGCGGCUUAAUUUGACUCAACACGGGAAACCUCACCAGGCCCGGACAUCAUAAAGAUUGACAGGUUGAGAGCUCUUUCUCGAUUUGAUGGGUGGUGGUGCAUGGCCGUUCUUAGUUGGUGGAGUGAUCUGUCUGGUUGAUUCCGAUAACGAACGAGACUCUACCUUACUAACUAGUCGGCGAAUCGUUACCCUGAGAUAGUUAGUCCGUAUAAGCUUGUUUUUUACCUAGGUAUAGUCUUACCACGAUCGUUGAGGUAAACUAGGCUAGCCGUUUUCGGUGAAUAUAGUUCCUUUUUCGUUCUUGGUAGCUUUACCGAAGUUGCUCGCCGAUGACGGCUACUACUGGGGGCGUCCGUCGCAAUAUAUCUUCUUAGAAGGAUCAGCUGCGUAUAGCAGUACGAGAAAGAGCAAUAACAGGUCUGUGAUGCCCUUAGAUGUUCUGGGCCGCACGCGCGCUACAAUGUAAGGACCAACGUGCUUUCCCCCUCCGAAAGGAAAGGGUAACCAGUUGAAACCCCUACUCGAUUGGGAUUGGGGAUUGCAAAUAUUUCCCAUGAACGAGGAAUUCCCAGUAAACGUUAGUCAUCAACUAGCGUUGAUUACGUCCCUGCCCUUUGUACACACCGCCCGUCGCUACUACCGAUUGAAUGAUUCAGUGAGGGCAUCGGACUGGCGCCUUCGGUUUUGAAACAUAGACCCUAGGGAGACGGAAAGAUGUCCGAACUCGAUCAUUUAGAGGAAGUAAAAGUCGUAACAAGGUUUC